This 484-nucleotide ribosomal RNA is filed under the name uncultured bacterium. RNAcentral describes it as "partial 16S ribosomal RNA". It matches the Rfam family "Bacterial small subunit ribosomal RNA", at positions 30 to 507 of the family's 1533-position model. The record is from RNAcentral.
AUUGAACGCUGGCGGCAGGCCUAACACAUGCGAGUCGAGCGGAUGAAGGGAGCUUGCUCCUGGAUUCAGCGGCGGACGGGUGAGUAAUGCCUAGGAAUCUGCCUGGUAGUGGGGGAUAACGUCCGGAAACGGGCGCUAAUACCGCAUACGUCCUGAGGGAGAAAGUGGGGGAUCUUCGGACCUCACGCUAUCAGAUGAGCCUAGGUCGGAUUAGCUAGUUGGUGGGGUAAAGGCCUACCAAGGCGACGAUCCGUAACUGGCCUGAGAGGAUGAUCAGUCACACUGGAACUGAGACACGGUCCAGACUCCUACGGGAGGCAGCAGUGGGGAAUAUUGGACAAUGGGCGAAAGCCUGAUCCAGCCAUGCCGCGUGUGUGAAGAAGGUCUUCGGAUUGUAAAGCACUUUAAGUUGGGAGGAAGGGCAGUAAGUUAAUACCUUGCUGUUUUGACGUUACCAACAGAAUAAGCACCGGCUAACUUCGUG